Poecilia latipinna (sailfin molly) is the source of this 545-nucleotide long non-coding RNA. RefSeq lists it as uncharacterized. NCBI's taxonomy places the organism in Eukaryota, Metazoa, Chordata, Actinopteri, Cyprinodontiformes, Poeciliidae. The transcript is spliced from 2 exons. The record is from RefSeq and is a predicted model, not a curated record.
AACUGCUUGUGCUUUGUUAUUCUUAAUAUUGCCUUACCUGUCUGAAGUCUGACAGAGGCUUACCUGAGGGAAUGUGGAGGAGUUCUGCUGACACUAAACGGAUCACAGGAGCAGCUCGCUACACGCCUUCCUGAUGGAGACAUCACCGCAUAGCUAUGCAGAGCGAGAGACCGCAGGCACCGUCAUGUUUCAAGGACUUUCAGCCAGAACAAUGGAGGAAUAUGGAGCUACUCCUAGACUUUCGUUAACCCCUCUGAGUACUUUGGUGAAAAUACAACUAGCUCCAGCAAGUCUUCAUCAGGUUCCCUGGUUCUUCACAGCUGUAUUUUGAUUUAGCCACACCUGGUUCCCAAGCCACUCAUCAAUCCUCUUCCCUUCAGUUCCUUCCCUCUUUGCCAGAUACUUUUGUUCCUCUUUUUGUCUGUAUCCUCCAUGCAGGUUUCGCUGUCUUUGCUCGGUCCUCUCAGGUCACAGUUCCACCUCAUCAACAUGAGGCUGCUAUGUUCUAUCCUAGGUUUGAACUAAAUAAUUCAAAGAAAAAAAAA